Long non-coding RNA from Oncorhynchus keta (chum salmon), 1677 nucleotides. RefSeq lists it as uncharacterized. The record is from RefSeq and is a predicted model, not a curated record. NCBI's taxonomy places the organism in Eukaryota, Metazoa, Chordata, Actinopteri, Salmoniformes, Salmonidae. The transcript has 7 exons.
GUGAUAUGUAGGGUGGAACAUAGUAAUGAGGUGGUGAUAUGUAGGGUGGAACAUAGUAAUGAGGUGGUGAUAUGUAGGGUGGAACAUAGUAAUGAGGUGGUGAUAUGUAGGGUGGAACAUAGUAAUGAGGUGGUGAUAUGUAGGGUGGAACAUAGUAAUGAGGUGGUGAUAUGUAGGGUGGAACAUAGUAAUGAGGUGGUGAUAUGUAGGGUGGAACAUAGUAAUGAUGUGGUGAUAUGUAGGGUGGAACAUAGUAAUGAGGUGGUGAUAUGUAGGGUGGAACAUAGUAAUGAUGUGGUGAUAUGUAGGGUGGAACAUAGUAAUGAGGUGGUGAUAUGUAGGGUGGAACAUAGUAAUGAGGUGGUGAUAUGUAGGGUGGAACAUAGUAAUGAGGUGGUGAUAUGUAGGGUGGAACAUAGUAAUGAGGUGGUGAUAUGUAGGGUGGAACAUAGUAAUGAGGUGGUGAUAUGUAGGGUGGAACAUAGUAAUGAUGUGGUGAUAUGUAGGGUGGAACAUAGUAAUGAUGUGGUGAUAUGUAGGGUGGAACAUAGUAAUGAGGUGGUGAUAUGUAGGGUGGAACAUAGUAAUGAGGUGGUGAUAUGUAGGGUGGAACAUAGUAAUGAUGUGGUGAUAUGGCCUAGUGUGACAGUGUUUGAGACACUCUCCCAUUUCUCCCAGUCCUUAGAGGACCAGUGCCAUCAUGUCUGUUCCUGGUAAUGUUCUCCUGCUGUCUGUUCCUGGUAAUGUUCUCCUGCUGUCUGUUCCUGGUAAUGUUCUCCUGCUGUCUGUUCCUGGUAAUGUUCUCCUGCUGUCUGAGUGUUCCUGAGUGACAUUAAUCAGUUUGGAUCUAAACCAGAUGUCUCUCUGAUAUCUUCCAGAGUGUUCCUGAGUGACAUUAAUCAGUUUGGAUCUAAACCAGAUGUCUCUCUGAUUUCUUUCAGAGUGUUCCUGAGGGCCAUUAAUCAGUUUGGAUCUAAACCAGAUGUCUCUCUGAUUUCUUUCAGAGUGUUCCUGUGGGCCAUUAAUCAGUUUGGAUCUAAACCAGAUGUCUCUGUGAUUUAUUUCAGUGUUCCUGAGGGCCAUUAAUCAGUUUGGAUCUAAACCAGAUGUCUCUGUGAUUUAUUUCAGAGUGUUCCUGAGGGCCAUUAAUCAGUUUGGAUCUAAACCAGAUGUCUCUGUGAUUUAUUUCAGAGUGUUCCUGAGGGCCAUUAAUCAGUUUGGAUCUAAACCAGAUGUCUCUGUGAUUUAUUUCAGAGUGUUCCUGAGGGCCAUUAAUCAGUUUGGAUCUAAACCAGAUGUCUCUGUGAUUUAUUUCAGAGUGUUCCUGAGGGCCAUUAAUCAGUUUGGAUCUAAACCAGAUGUCUCUGUGAUUUAUUUCAGAGUGUUCCUGAGGGCCAUUAAUAAGUUUGGAUCUAAACCAGAUGUCUCUGUGAUUUAUUUCAGAGUGUUCCUGAGGGCCAUUAAUCAGUAUGCAGCCGUGUUAAACAAGAAGUUCCUGGAUCAGACCAACUUUGAGCUUCAGCUGUGGAACAACUACUUCCACCUCGCCGUGGCGUAUCUUACCCAGGAGUCCUUGCAGCUUGAGAACUUCUCCAGCGACAAACGAUCCAAGAUCUUCCAGAAGUGAGUUACAUUACCCCCAUCACACACUCCCCAGAGGACAUUACCCCCAUCACA